AUCACAAUUUACUGUUAAAAUAUAAUUAAUAAUGUCUACAAAACCUUCGCAAAAAAAUAAUGUCAACAAAAUGUAUUUGUGAUUAUGAAAUGUUAUUGAACAGAAAUACUCCAUAUGCCCAUAGCAUUUAUAUAUCUCGCAACUGAAUAUAUACUUUGAGACCCAUAACUGGUGAAAGUUUCAAAAAAUUGAUAUAUUUAUGAAAGGAAAGAGUACAUAUAAGCAAGGUCACACAAGAUCCCUAAUAUGGUAAAGAAGAAAACGGUGAGAAGACUAGCUAGCAAAAUGAUUAUUUUGCGUGAGUGAAGACAGCAGGCAAAAAAAAA
RNAcentral lists this long non-coding RNA (326 nucleotides) under Sorghum bicolor (sorghum). RNAcentral describes it as "long non-coding RNA (SBIC_LNC018322)". Lineage: Eukaryota; Viridiplantae; Streptophyta; Magnoliopsida; Poales; Poaceae. The record is from RNAcentral.